Molecule: transfer RNA, 86 nt
Filed under: Chloroflexota bacterium
Lineage: Bacteria; Bacillati; Chloroflexota
Description: Chloroflexi bacterium tRNA-Leu
Rfam family: tRNA
About the family: Transfer RNA (tRNA) molecules are approximately 80 nucleotides in length. Their secondary structure includes four short double-helical elements and three loops (D, anti-codon, and T loops).
Source: RNAcentral
GCCGGGGUGGCGAAAUGGCAGACGCGCUACGUUCAGGACGUAGUGCCCGUAAGGGCGUGCGAGUUCGACUCUCGCCCUCGGCACCA